Molecule: ribosomal RNA, 428 nt
Filed under: uncultured bacterium
Lineage: Bacteria
Description: bacterial SSU rRNA
Rfam family: Bacterial small subunit ribosomal RNA
Source: RNAcentral
AACGAACGCUGGCGGCGUGCCUAACACAUGCAAGUCGAACGCGAAAGGGGGCAACUCCCGGUAGCGUGGCAGACGGGUGAGUAACACGUGGGUAACCCUGCCCGGAGGUGGGGGAUAACCCUUCGAAAGGAGGGCUAAUACCGCAUGAUAUCCAUGGGUUUUAGAACCUGGGGAUCAAAGCUAGCCUCUACUUGUAAGCUAGCGCCAUUGGAGGGGCCCGCGGCCCAUUAGCUAGUUGGUGAGGUAACGGCNCACCAAGGCGACGAUGGGUAGCCGGCCUGAGAGGGCGAACGGCCACACUGGAACUGAGACACGGUCCAGACUCCUACGGGAGGCAGCAGUGAGGAAUCUUGCGCAAUGGGCGAAAGCCUGACGCAGCGACGCCGCGUGGAGGAUGAAGGUCUUCGGAUUGUAAACUCCUGUGAGGU